AUGUGGGCGUUGGAUUCACCUCAAUCGGAGUUACGGUUGCGGAGUUAUGAGGUGUUGAACACCAGGGACCAAUCUAUGAAUAAGACUUCAACAAACAAGUCCCUGGAGGCAAAACUGAAAGCGCCUUCGGGCCGAUUACGCCUUCCGCAAAAGAAAACGUAUAUUCAGCCGAAGAACAAUGGAAGUUCGUUUCCUCAAAGGGAAAACGUAUUUUGCGGAACACGCUUUCAUAAGAGAAAAGCGCAAAGAGGGAAACAUGCCUCCACUUAUCCACGUGGCAAGGUGCUGGGCCACUGGCGCGUGGGUCCCACGGGCGCUCGUCCCCUUCCUCCCGCUCGCCUUAUUCCUCGCGUGAAGCAGAGGCAGAGCAGGGGAGGGGCGACGAGGGGGCCGGCCUGCUCCGGCCCGGCCGAGGGCACCGGCGGGACCGUAGCGGCCAACCGCACCCAUCCAGAGGGAUUACGACCGCCGGGGAGGCGCGGGAAGGAGGGGAGGGGUGGCGCCAUGGAGAGUACAGGAAGCUUCGGGCGACGGGGUUCUUCGGCGAUGCGGCCGCUCCGGCGAGGGGGGAAGUGGGUGGGGAGGCUUAUCGAGACGAGGGGGAGGCAGUGGACAUGGAGGGGAGGCUAG
Molecule: ribosomal RNA, 630 nt
Filed under: Triticum aestivum (bread wheat)
Lineage: Eukaryota; Viridiplantae; Streptophyta; Magnoliopsida; Poales; Poaceae
Description: partial small subunit ribosomal RNA
Source: RNAcentral